RNAcentral lists this ribosomal RNA (325 nucleotides) under uncultured eukaryote. RNAcentral describes it as "partial 18S ribosomal RNA". It matches the Rfam family "Eukaryotic small subunit ribosomal RNA", at positions 1470 to 1796 of the family's 1831-position model. The record is from RNAcentral.
CCCCUAGACGUUCUGGGCUGCACGCGCGCUACAAUAAUACGCACAGCGAGUAUCACCGAGCUCGAAAGGGCAAGGUAAACAAUAGAAAAGGUACUGUAAUGGUUAUAGAUCCUUGUAAUUAUUGAUCUUCAACGAGGAAUUCCUAGUAAGUAUGUGUCAUCAUCACGCACUGAUUACGUCCCUGCCCUUUGUACACACCGCCCGUCGCUACUACUGAUUGGGUGUUCAAGUGAGAUGCUUAGACCCUUGUUGCAUGGUUCAUUAUUGUGCUCCGAAAGGAAAAAGUUUCAAGCUUGAGUGUCUAGAGGAAGUAAAAGUCGUAACA